This 427-nucleotide ribosomal RNA is filed under the name uncultured bacterium. RNAcentral's name for it is "bacterial SSU rRNA". It matches the Rfam family "Bacterial small subunit ribosomal RNA", at positions 355 to 774 of the family's 1533-position model. The record is from RNAcentral.
UGGGGAAUUUUGGACAAUGGGCGCAAGCCUGAUCCAGCCAUGCCGCGUGAGUGAAGAAGGCCUUCGGGUUGUAAAGCUCUUUCGGACGGGAAGAAAUGGCGGGCUCUAACAUAGCCUGUCGAUGACGGUACCGUAAGAAGAAGCACCGGCUAACUACGUGCCAGCAGCCGCGGUAAUACGUAGGAUGCAAGCGUUAUCCGGAAUUAUUGGGUUUAAAGGGUGCGUAGGCGGACUAAUAAGUCAGUGGUGAAAGCCUGCAGCUUAACUGCAGAAUUGCCAUUGAUACUGUUAGUCUUGAGUACAGUUGAGGUAGGCGGAAUGUGUCAUGUAGCGGUGAAAUGCUUAGAUAUGACACAGAACACCGAUUGCGAAGGCAGCUUGCUAAGCUGUAACUGACGCUGAGGCACGAAAGCGUGGGGAGCAAACA